ACGACUCUCGGCAAUAGACAUCUCGGCUCUCACAUCGAUAAAGAAUGUAGCAAAAUGUGAUACUUGGUGUGAACUGUAGAAUCUCGUGAAUCGUAGAAUAUUUGAACGCAAGUUGCGCCCAAAGCCAUUAGGCCGUGGACACGUCUCCUUGGGCGUCACACAUUGUGUUGCCCCCUCGCUUCGCGCUUCAAUCAUGGGGCACGCUAUUUUCAUAGGGCAGAUACUGGCCUCCCGUGCACCUCGAGCUCGCGACUGGCCUAAAUAUAUGUCCAUAUCGAAGGAUGUCAUGGCAAUUGGUGGUUGUAUCUCAACUCUCUUUGUUAUCGCAGCUAUAGCUUAUCGCGCGUCCGGACUCCAGGACCAUUUCAUACUUAAGCACUUCGACCUCAACCCUAGGUCAGGCGGGAUUACCCGCUGAGUUUAGGCAUAUCAAUAAGUAGAGAAAAAGAAACUUAAAAGAAUUCACUUAGUAAUGGCGAGCAAACUGGGAACUACCCAGCUUUAGAAUCGGGCAGCUCCAUCGUCCGAAUUGCAGUUUGGAGAAGCGUCCUCAGCGGCGGACCGGGACUAAGUCCCCCGGAAGGGGGCACCAGAGAGGGUGAGAGCCCUAUUGUGCUCAGACCCUCUUACACUAUGAGGCAGUGUCUACGAGUCGGGUUUGUUUAGGAAUGCAGCCCAAAUUGGGUGGUGAAUUCCGUCCAAGGCAAAAUACGGGUGACAGACCGAUAGCGAACAAGUACUUCGAGGGAAAGACGAAAAAGACUUUAAAACACGAGUCAAAGAGUGCUUGAAAUUAUUGAGAAGGAAGCGGAUGGGGGCUAGCGAUGUGCCCCGGUCGGAUGUGGAAAGGCGACGAGCAAGUCCGCCGAUCGACUCUUGAUACGCUCGUGGAAUGCUGUCUCCUCGAUUGUGGCAGCCAGUGCGUGCCUCCGGCAUGCUUUGGCAUGUAUGCGCUACGGACGCUUGCCUGUGGUCUCCCCAUUGACCCAUCUUAAAAAAGGGACCAAGAAGUCUGACAUGUGUGCGAGUCAACGGACGAGUAAACCCGUAAGGCGUAAGGAAGCUGAUUGGUUGUAUCCCCCCGAGGGGUGCACCGUCGACCAACCUUGAUCUUCUGAGAAGGGUUUGAGUGUGAGCAUACCUGUCGGGACCCAAAAGAUGGUGAAGUAUGCCGGAGCAGAGUAAAGCCAGAGGAAACUCUGUUGGAGGCCCGCAGCGAUACUAACGUUUCAAUCGUUCGUCUGACUUGGGCGUAGGGCCUGCGGAUGCUUUGUCAAGACGUACCACAGAAUCAAGAGCUCCAAGUGGACCAUAUUUGGUAAGCAGAACUGGCGAUACAGGAUGAACUAAAAGCCAGGUUAUGGUGCAAAACUGUGCGGUAACCUAGAUCCCACAAAGGAUGUUGGUCGAUUAAGACAGCAGGACGGUGGCCAUGUAAAUCAAAAUUCGUUAAGGAGUGUGUAAAAACUCACUUUCCAAAUGAACUAGCCCCAAAAAUGGAUGGCAUUAAGCGCAGACCUAAACCUGGCCAUCGGGGAAAGUUCCAGGCCCCGAUGAGUAGGAGGGCCCGGCGGUCGCUGGAAAACCUUGGGCGCAAAUCCGGGCGAAGCGAUCGUCGGUUCAGAUAUUAGUGGUACUAGCAAAUAUUCAAAUGAGAACUUUGAAGGUCGAAGAGAGGAAAGGUUCCAUGUGUACAGCACUUGUACAUGGAUUAGUCGAUCCUAAGAGUCGGGAGAACCCCGAUAGAUAGUGCAUUUCUCAUGUACUCCAAAAGGGAAUUGGGUUAAAAUUCCUAGAUAGGGACGUGGCAGUCGACGACAAUGUUAAGAAGUCCGAAGACGUCAGCGGGAGCCUCGGUAAGAGUUGUCUUUUCUGUUUAAAAGCUUUCCUUCCCUGGAAUCGGCUUAGCUGGAGGUAGGGUCCAGCGGCUGGAAGAGCACCGUACGUCACGUGGUGUCCGGUGUACUACCGGCGGUCCUUCAAAAUCUAGAGCACCAAAUUUCAUCCAUACCCAGUUGUACUCAUAACCAUAUCAAGUCUCCGAGGGGAACAACCUCUGGUAGAUGGAACAAUGUAGGCAAGGGAAGUCGGCAAAAUGUAUUCGUAACUUCUGGAAAAGGAUUGGCACUAAGGGCUGGGCACGAGGGUCCCAAACCCGUCGGCUGUCAGUGGACUAGUCGAGCUGCUCCCACAGUAAGAUCGGGUCGCCGCAUGCCGGUCAGGGGACGGACUAAGAAUGGUUCCUUUAGGGGCCUUCCCAGCGCGUCGAACAGCCAACUCAGAACUAGUAUGGACAAGGGGAAUCCGACUAUUUAAUUAAAACAAAGCAUUGCGAUGGUCCCAAAGAAUGUUCACGAAUUGUGAUUUUUACCCAGUGCUCUGAAUGCCAAAGUGAAGAAAUUCAACCAAGCAUGGGUAAACGGCGGGAGUAACUAUUACUCUCUUAAGGUAGCCAAAUGCCUCGUCAUCUAAUUAGUGAUGCGCAUAAAUGGAUUAAUGAGAUUCCCACUAUCCCUGUCUACUAUCCAGCGAAACCACAGACAAGGGAACUCUUCUCCGACUUUGUGAAAUGAAUUGAGAGGUGUAGUAUAAGUGGGAGCCGAAAGGCGAAAGUGAAAUACCACUACUUUUAAGAUUAUUUUACUUAUUCCGUGAUUUGAAAGCGGGGCACUGCCCUUUUUUUUGGACCCAAGGCUCACUCUGCAGGCUGAUCUGGGAGGAAGACACUGUCAGGUGGGGAGUUUGGCUGGGGCUUCACAUCUGUUAAAAUAUAACGCAGGUGAGAACAGAAAUAUCGUGUGGAACAGAAGGAUAAAAUUUCGUUUGAUUUUGAUUUCCAGUACGAAUAUGAACCAUGAAAGCAUGGCCUAACGAUCCUUAAGACCUUCGAAAUUCGAAGCUAGAGGUGUUAGAAAAAUAUUACCACAGGGAUAACUGGCCUGUUGCAGCCAAGCGUUCAUAGCGACGUUGCUUUUUCAUCCUUCGAUGUCGGCUUUUCCUAUUAUUGCGAAGCAGAAUUCACCAAGUAUUGGGUUGUUCACCCACCAAUAGCGAACGUGAGCUGGGUAUAGACCGUCGUUAGACAGGUUAUUUUACCCUACUUAUGACAGUAUCCCAGUAGCAAUUCAACCUAGUGGGAGAGGAAACAUUGAUUCACAUAAUUUGUCAUCGUGCUUGGUUGAAAAGCCAGCGGCGAAAAGCUACCGUGUGCUAGAUUAUGAAUGAACACCUCUAAGUCAGAAUCUGGCCUAGAAGUGAUGCAUGCGCCCUCUGUCUGAUUGACGACCCGCAGUAGCGGCCUUGGCCCCCAAGGGCACGUGUCGUUUGCUAUGCCAUCGCGGCGGAAGAGUCGCGGUGGCUUCCUUGAAGUAUAAUUUCCAUCAAACGGAGAGUAGAAUCCUUUGCAAACGACUUAACUAUGCAACGGGGUAUUAUAAGUGGAAGAGUGGCCUUGCUGCCACGAUCCACUGAGAUUUAUCCGUCUGUCGCUCUGGUUCGU
Molecule: ribosomal RNA, 3499 nt
Filed under: Capsicum annuum
Lineage: Eukaryota; Viridiplantae; Streptophyta; Magnoliopsida; Solanales; Solanaceae
Description: eukaryotic LSU rRNA
Rfam family: Eukaryotic large subunit ribosomal RNA (bases 388-3499)
Source: RNAcentral